CACGGACCUAGGGGUCCCCCAGCUUGAGCAAUAAUCCCUUUAUACAGUAGGUUCUCUGACUUAGGGGACCCCCUUCUUCCAACCGGAGCUGCGUGGCUGUGGAUCCCCGCAGAGCGCGUGGGAAUGGGGGAGGGGCGAACGGAGUAUUAUUUGAUAAGGUUUAAACUGCUCUCUUGCUCCCAGUACACCUUCCCUACAACCUAACACAGUGCCUCAGGUUGCGCCAUUACAUUUCCAGCCCUUUGGGUCUUAGAGGCAUUGAAGGUUCCCAGAGUCUCCUUGGAAACUGCCAACAUCCCUGGGAGAGGGAACCCCCUAAAGUGUUAGCAUCCCACGCCCGCGAUAGGGAUUCGUUGGCCACCAGCGGAAGGAGUUGGGCCUGGAGAACAAGAUCCAGGGUAUCAAAAGUUGGGUGCAUAUUUCACAACUGAAGAAGGCCACAUCUGACAUUUGGCCCUGCGUGAAUGCUAAAGACCUCAAAAUCAAAUUGACUAGAAGGAGAAGUAGCUGAAAUCAAGGUAGACUGCUUUUUCCCAAGAAGUUAGAUUGAUGAGGGAGCAUAAGUUUAUUACACAACUCAAGCAAAAGACCCUGCAGACAAAGUAUCCACUUAUGGGAACCAAAACUACCUCCUGAAGCAGUAAGGACUGCCCUGAGCCAGCCAGAUCCCACCCAUGACAAUGCUGGACCACACCUUUACUGCCUUAGGUACCCACCGAACUUUGUCCCACAUUUUCCUUAUAUAAACCUGGAAAUACUUUCAGCACUUCGAGAGUCUUUGAGAUCUUUGAGAUGCUAGUCCGCUGUC
This is a long non-coding RNA of Neofelis nebulosa (Clouded leopard), 808 nucleotides long. RefSeq lists it as uncharacterized. The transcript is spliced from 3 exons. The record is from RefSeq and is a predicted model, not a curated record. Lineage: Eukaryota; Metazoa; Chordata; Mammalia; Carnivora; Felidae.